Molecule: non-coding RNA, 282 nt
Organism: Coffea arabica (coffee)
Lineage: Eukaryota; Viridiplantae; Streptophyta; Magnoliopsida; Gentianales; Rubiaceae
Source: RefSeq, a predicted model, not a curated record
AGGCGCUCAAGGGGACCUUCAAGAAGAACUCGAAGUGGACGCCUAGACACUUGUUUGAAUAUUUACUCUCUUGUUGCAAUAGGGUUAGAGACCAAGGGUACUCGUGAGUAGUACUAGAUUGUUCUCUUUUGAAGACUUUGAGUUAUAUUAUAACGGAUGGCUAUAGUACUCUUUUCCGUUGGAUUGUAUUUGAACUUGAAAGCUACAUAAUUGUAAGUGUGAGAUAUUUGAAGUACUUUAAUUAUGUAUUGAAGUUACUUAUAGUAUUUCGAGCUCUUGAAU